GUCACAGAUGAGUAAUAAACGAGUUACUGUACAGCGAUGAGCUGAUAACAACUGCCUGAAUAGCACAGUAUUACUGUAGUAUAGUGUUUACAUUCUCUUAGGAAUACUACAGUAACGUUACUACUAUGGUACGUGUCAGAAACCCGUGCGCUGCAGAGAAAGAUGAACAACAGAAGCCAGAAACACCAACCUGUAUCGCCUGACGACACCGCGUCACUCCUGAGCGGUGUCAGGAUGGUGUGUGAGCUGCUGCUGUCCUCGCUCUGGUUCCUGUUCCUCAUCUUCUGGCUGGAGAGCAUCAGUGUUUGGCUCUUUCUGUGUCUGUACUAUCAGGACAGGGUUUUCUAUCACUGGGCUUCAGGUGAGUUUGCAGAUGAUCCGGAUCAGUUCCUCUAUGUGUUGAGCAGAAUCGAUCUGUCUGCGCACAUGCAGACAUGAGGAAGUGAUGUCAUCACGCCAGGGUCAGAGGUCAGCGGGUCCUCGUGACCUCCAGAGACUGUGAUGGACGGUUUCUGCAGACAGAUAGAGCGGCGAGAUUCAGCGCACAAGCAGCAGGAACACAUGAAACCUCUUUAAAACUGUUACCUGCGUGAACACUGACGGAGUUUAACCAGUUCAUGUUUUUUAACUAGCUGGAAUUUCAUUUGAGAAAAUAUUAACAGCUCCAGAUUAACUUUGAUCGAAUUAUUGUGUGUUCUAUUUUUAUACCAAUUUCUCUUUUUUUUUUACCUAAUAAUAAAAAUAAAGCAGCUUUAAACAGUUUCUCUGAGGUUUCGUUUCUACACUAAACAGAAACAAGAAAAAUCUGCUU
Molecule: long non-coding RNA, 811 nt
Filed under: Sinocyclocheilus anshuiensis
Lineage: Eukaryota; Metazoa; Chordata; Actinopteri; Cypriniformes; Cyprinidae
Description: lncRNA (ENSSANG00000009702.1)
Source: RNAcentral